CAACCUUAUGGCCUACGACUUCCAUGGCUCUUGGGAGAAGGUCACGGGACAUAACAGCCCCCUCUACAAGAGGCAAGAGGAGAGUGGUGCAGCAGCCAGCCUCAACGUGGAUGCUGCUGUGCAACUGUGGCUGCAGAAGGGGACCCCUGCCAGCAAGCUGAUCCUUGGCAUGCCUACCUACGGACGCUCCUUCACCCUGGCCUCCUCAUCAGACACCAGAGUGGGGGCCCCAGCCACAGGGUCUGGCACUCCCGGCCCCUUCACCAAGGAAGGAGGGAUGCUGGCCUACUAUGAGGUAGGAAAACCCAUAACCACCCUGGGUAUUGUGGGGGUCAGGGGUGCCUGAGAGAGCAGAGGUUUCCUUCUCCCACUGUUUCUGAGUAA
This 384-nucleotide small RNA is filed under the name Pongo abelii (Sumatran orangutan). Its description in RNAcentral is "processed transcript". Lineage: Eukaryota; Metazoa; Chordata; Mammalia; Primates; Hominidae. The record is from RNAcentral.